Molecule: ribosomal RNA, 229 nt
Filed under: uncultured bacterium
Lineage: Bacteria
Description: partial 16S ribosomal RNA
Rfam family: Bacterial small subunit ribosomal RNA
Source: RNAcentral
GAUGAACGCUGGCGGCGUGCCUAAUACAUGCAAGUCGAACGCACAGCGAAAGGUGCUUGCACCUUUCAAGUGAGUGGCGAACGGGUGAGUAACACGUGGACAACCUGCCUCAAGGCGUGGGGAUAACUAUUUAGGAAACAGAUGCUAAUACCGAAUAAACUUAGUGUCGCAUGACACAAAAGUUAAAAGGCGUCUUUGGCGUCAACCUAAAGAUGGAUCCGCGGUGCUA